AUGGCCCGCACGAAGCAGACGGCGCGCAAGUCCACCGGCGGCAAGGCGCCGAGGAAGCAGCUGGCGACCAAGGCGGCGCGCAAGUCCGCCCCGGCCACCGGCGGCGUGAAGAAGCCCCACCGCUUCCGCCCGGGGACCGUCGCCCUCCGCGAGAUCCGCAAGUACCAGAAGAGCACGGAGCUGCUCAUCCGCAAACUCCCCUUCCAGCGCCUCGUCCGGGAGAUCGCCCAGGACUUCAAGACCGACCUCCGCUUCCAGUCCUCCGCCGUCUCCGCCCUGCAGGAGGCCGCCGAGGCCUACCUCGUCGGCCUCUUCGAGGACACCAACCUCUGCGCCAUCCACGCCAAGCGCGUCACCAUCAUGCCCAAGGACAUCCAGCUCGCGCGCCGCAUCCGUGGGGAGCGCGCCUAG
RNAcentral lists this ribosomal RNA (411 nucleotides) under Triticum aestivum (bread wheat). Its description in RNAcentral is "partial small subunit ribosomal RNA". Lineage: Eukaryota; Viridiplantae; Streptophyta; Magnoliopsida; Poales; Poaceae. The record is from RNAcentral.